AUUGAACGCUGGCGGCAUGCCUUACACAUGCAAGUCGAACGGCAGCUCGGGUGCUUGCACCUGGUGGCGAGUGGCGAACGGGUGAGUAAUACAUCGGAACAUGUCCUGUAGUGGGGGAUAGCCCGGCGAAAGCCGGAUUAAUACCGCAUACGAUCUACGGAUGAAAGCGGGGGACCUUCGGGCCUCGCGCUAUAGGGUUGGCCGAUGGCUGAUUAGCUAGUUGGUGGGGUAAAGGCCUACCAAGGCGACGAUCAGUAGCUGGUCUGAGAGGACGACCAGCCACACUGGGACUGAGACACGGCCCAGACUCCUACGGGAGGCAGCAGUGGGGAAUUUUGGACAAUGGGCGAAAGCCUGAUCCAGCAAUGCCGCGUGUGUGAAGAAGGCCUUCGGGUUGUAAAGCACUUUUGUCCGGAAAGAAAUCCUUGGCCCUAAUACGGUCGGGGGAUGACGGUACCGGAAGAAUAAGCACCGGCUAACUACGUG
This 486-nucleotide ribosomal RNA is filed under the name uncultured bacterium. Its description in RNAcentral is "partial 16S ribosomal RNA". It matches the Rfam family "Bacterial small subunit ribosomal RNA", at positions 30 to 507 of the family's 1533-position model. The record is from RNAcentral.